CCUUUGCGGGUCUGAAACUGGCCGCUGCGCACGGGGCGGAGUCGGGGCCGGGAGCGCGCCCCCUCCUGCGGCAGGACGCGCUCGGGGACCGAGUCUCGUUACAGUCAGGACUUCUGCUGGGCAGGGUCAGCUGUUAAUCCUCAAGGCGGAUACCGGGGCGGUGGGGAGAUGGGGCAUAUGGGUGGUGUCCGUCGGUGAGAAACACCUAGCACAGAAAAAGGGUGGCGGCGAGAGGGAGUUCCCACCUGUUGGCGUUCUUCCAGAAAUAAAGACUUGAGAAAAUACCAAGGAGGGGCCGAUCGGUGUGUUUCGGACGCGCCUAGAACCCCACCCUCGGUCAGAGGAAAAGCUCCUGGGGUGAGACGCAGGAGCUUCAGAAAAACCAAGAAGAAAAGCAGCUCCCUCCGCGCGCCACGUCCUCUGCCUCGCACUCCUGCGCGGCCGGCCCAGCCUGCGCCUGGCCCGCGGCCCUUCGCCUGGCUGCGCCUUCCCACCCCGGCCUUCCGGGUGCCUCAGCCGGCGACCUGCCUCCGAGUCCUCCCAUGGCGGUAGCGCGACCCACAGGCUCCGCGAGCGGAGCCCUUUGCUGGCAACUCCUGCUGACCCUCGCGAUCUUAACAUUUGCCUGUGAUGCCUGCAAAACAGUGACACUACAUGUUCCCUCCAAACUAGAUGCUGUAAAAUAUAUUGGUAGAGUUAACCUGAAGGAAUGCUUUAAAUCUGCAAAUCUAAUUCAUUCAAGUGAUCCUGAUUUCCAAAUUUUAGAAGAUGGUUCAGUCUAUACAACAAAUGCCAUUCUUUUGUCCUCAGCGAAGAGAUCUUUUACCGUAUUACUUUCCAACACAGAUACCCAAGAAGAGAAGAAAAUACUUGUCCUUUUAGAGCAACAAACAAAGGUACUGAGGAAAAGGCGUUCUCAAGAAAAAGUUCUAAUACGUGCCAAGAGAAGAUGGGCUCCUAUUCCUUGUUCAGUGUCUGAGAAUUCCUUGGGUCCUUUCCCACUUUUUCUUCAACAGAUUCAAUCUGAUACAGCACAAAACUACACUAUUUACUAUUCCAUAAGUGGGCCUGGAGUUGACAAAGAACCUCUAAAUUUAUUUUAUGUAGAGAGAGAUACUGGAAACCUGUUUUGUACUCGUCCUGUAGAUCGUGAAAAGUAUCCAUCUUUUGAGCUAGUUGCCUUUGCAACAACUAAGGAUGGAUAUACUCCAGAAUUUCCACUGCCCCUACUAAUCAGAAUCGAGGAUGAGAAUGAUAACUUCCCAAUUUUUACAGAAACAACUUACAUUUUUAAUGUUUCUGAAAACUGCAGAGUUGGUACUACCGUGGGACAGGUUUGUGCAACUGACAAAGAUGAGCCUGACACACUGCACACGCGUCUAAUGUACUCCAUCAUCGAGCAGUUACCAGCAUCACGCACCCUCUUUUUUAUGCAGCCAGCUACAGGUGUGAUCACCACAACAUCAUCUCAGCUAGACAGAGAGGUAACUGAUAAAUACCAAUUGAAAAUAAAAGUACAAGACAUGGAUGGUCAAUAUUUUGGUUUGCAGACAACUGCAACUUGCAUCAUUAAUAUUGGAGAUGUGAAUGACAACUUGCCAACAUUCAACCGUUUAUCUUAUGAGACAUCAGUGGAGGAAAAUAUAAUUGAUGUGGAAAUCUUACGUGUUGCCGUUACGGAUAAGGAUUUAAUUAAUACUGCUAAUUGGAGAGCUAAUUAUACCAUUUUAAAGGGCAAUGAAAAUGGAAAUUUUAAAAUUGUAACAGAUCCCAAAACCAAUGAAGGAGUUCUGUAUGUGGUUAAGCCACUGAAUUAUGAAGAAAAACAAGAGAUGACCCUACAAAUCAGUGUAGUUAAUGAAGCUCCAAAUUUUGCUAGUUCGAGAUCAACCAUGAGCAUGGCGACAGUCACUGUUAAUGUACAAAAUCAGGAUGAAGGCCCUGAGUGUCGCCCUGCAGUGCAAAUUGUUCGUAUUAAAGAAAAUGCACCAGGGAGCACAAAGGGCAUUGGAUAUAAAGCACAUGACCCGGAAACAAAUAGUAGCAGUGGCAUAAGGUAUAAGAAAUUAAGUGAUCCAGAAGGAUGGGUCAGUGUUGAUGAAAACUCAGGAUCAAUCACAAUUUUAAGAAGCCUGGAUAGAGAGGCAAGGACCAUCAGAAAUGGUAUAUAUAAUAUUACAAUCCUUGCCUCAGACAAAGGUAAGAGAACAUGUACUGGGACACUAGGGAUUAUACUUGAAGACGUGAAUGAUAACGGCCCAUUCAUACCUCAAAAGACGGUGAUAAUCUGUAAAACUGUCAUGUCAUCGGCGGAGAUUGUGGCCGUAGAUCCCGAUGAACCCAUACACGGCCCACCCUUUGACUUCAGUUUGGAAGGUGUUUCUGAUUCAGAAGUACUUAGAAUGUGGAGACUGACAAAAAUUAACGAUACAGCAGCACGUCUUUCCUAUCUGAAUGACCUCCAGUUUGGAGAAUAUACAGUACCUGUCAGAGUUGCAGAUAGGCUUGGCCAAUCACUUGUCACUCAGUUAAAGGUGAUAUUAUGUGACUGUGUUACCCAAAGUGACUGCGACAUUCGCUCAUCUGUGAUUCCCAGAAGACUGAUACUUGGAAAGUGGGCCAUCCUUGCAAUAGUGUUGGGCAUAGCAUUGCUAUUUUGUGUCCUAUUUACCUUAGUCUGUGGGGCUACUGGGGCAGCCAAAAAGCCAAAAGUAUUUCCCGAUGAUUUAGCCCAGCAGAACCUCAUUGUAUCAAACACUGAAGCUCCCGGCGAUGACAAAGUGGUAAAUUGCUCCACUCAGGGAAUUUGCAGCACCCUGGGAUCCGGAACCGGAGGUGGACAGCACACCCUGGAUUCCUGCAGAGGAGGACAAGUAGAGGCAGACAACUGCAGAUACGCAUACUCCGAUUGGUACACCUACACUCAGCCCCGUCUUGGUGAAGAAUCCAUUAGAGGACACACUCUGAUUAAAAAUUAAACAAUGAAAGAAGGUCCAGCUGUGUAAUCAGGAUAACAGUCAUACGCAUGCACAAGACUACGUCCGGACGUAUAACUAUGAAGGAAAAGGAUCGGCGGCUGGUUCUGUGGGUUGUUGCAGUGAACGACAAGAAGAAGAUGGGCUUGAAUUUUUGGAUCAUUUGGAACCCAAAUUUAGGACACUAGCAGAAGCAUGCAUGAAGAGAUGAGUGUGUUCUAUUUAGUCUACAAAAGCCAGUGGCUUUAAUUGUCUCUUUUAAAUUAUUAUUACAAGCCAGGAUUUUUUUAAAAAUAGAAGAUGCUGUUUUGGGGGCUUUUCCCCUUUAUUUUGUUGAGAUCUCUUUAGCCACAUGUGCUUUUACAGAGGGAUGCUGUGAACAACUACACAAAUUUCCUGAUUUUUCCAUAGUUUUUAAAUACUUGUCUUCCACCUAAGGACACCUGCAGAUAGACAAGUUGAGACAGUCUGCAUUAUUGUUUACAUUUGGGUAUAGUGACAGCAGCCAAUUUGUAGUGCAAUAAUAUGUAAUUAACUCAAGUCUAUAUCAUAGACUACUUGGAGUAUAACCGAAUGGAAAAUUGAAGAGGUCUUGCUCUAACAUUAUCUUCAGUUACCUAAAUUAAUUGUUUGUGUGGUGCUUGAAGACUGUUGUUCUCCUAAACAUUCUAAAGUGUAUACACUGCAUUCUUGCUAUUGUUUUAGUCUUGUAACAUGACCUUGCUUCAUAAAGCAAAGGGAGAUUCCCAACUAAGCGUUGACUGUUAUUAUAAUUCCACUUUGGUGGACUUUAGUUUUUGUGUUGUAUUCUCUGUGAAAUCCGGCACUGAAUCUACAUUUCCUCUGUUACCCACCUUCUCCGCAAAAUUUAAAUUAAAAAAAUGCUGAGGAAUGUAUUUUUUACUCCUGCAAGGUUUUGGUCUUUGGUCCCCGCCACUCCCCACCACCCCUUCUGUCUGCCUCUCACCCUCUCUCUUCCCUCUUUCCCCCUCUCCCUCUCUUUUUCCCUCUAUCUCUCUCUUUCUCUUCUUUUUUGUUCUUAAAAUUCCGAUUUGGGUUGGAGAAUCUAAGUAUGUUUAAAAGCCGCCUCUUUUUCCCUCGCUUAUAAAGUGACUUAUUCUGUGUUUCUGUUUUAUGUAAGCACCUGUAUUCUUGGCUUUUCUUAAAAUCAAUGUAAUGUCAAUUUUUUUGUUUCAGCUAUUUUGGUGAUUGCUUCAUUAUCUCCUCAACAAAGACCCUUUACUUUUGCCAUUCAACUGUAGAAGCAUGUCAUGCUUUUAUUUGAUGCAACACUCUAUGUUAACAAAAGGAAUAGUGUAAUUAAAAUUAGUUUAGUAUAAAAUAGUAUAUUUACAGUUCAUUAUUGCAAGGAUACAGUUUAUAAAUGCAAAAUAGUGAUUUUUUUGAAAUAAGCUUUGCAGUACAGGGAUUGUGAAAUCUCUAGGAAUAACUUUUAUAGCUUUUUAGAUCAGGUGGCUAGUUAUAGCUAUGUGUUUGUAAAGUUUUUUUUUUUUUAAUAUUUUGAGAUUACAGUUUUUUAACAAAUGUCGAACUGGUUCAAACUAUUUAAAUUUUGAAAUAAUAAGACAAAAUUAAACUUAAUAGCCAACCAAAUUCCAGGCUACAUUUCACAGCUGAUUUCAGUCAAUGAAUUUUCUAUCCGUACUAACCAUAUGGACAUUUUUAAAGUAUUUCUGAUAUUUAGGAUUGUUAAUAAUAUGCCUAUUUUGAAUUCACAGGAUUGGCUUAUAACAAUUAUUUUUAAAAAUUAACACUGGGUAAUUUAUUCAAUAAUCAGUUUAUCUUUUCAAUAGUUUCAUCACUACUCAGUCAAAAAUACUAUUUCUCAAAGUUAUUUUUAAUAAAUUAUGUAUAAAAUUCUUGUAUAUUACUAGU
RNAcentral lists this long non-coding RNA (4871 nucleotides) under Delphinapterus leucas (beluga whale). RNAcentral's name for it is "lncRNA (ENSDLEG00000004109.1)". Lineage: Eukaryota; Metazoa; Chordata; Mammalia; Artiodactyla; Monodontidae. The record is from RNAcentral.